Molecule: long non-coding RNA, 682 nt
Organism: Meriones unguiculatus (Mongolian gerbil)
Lineage: Eukaryota; Metazoa; Chordata; Mammalia; Rodentia; Muridae
Exons: 2
Source: RefSeq, a predicted model, not a curated record
UACACCCGCGUCUCGGGAUGUCUCGGGAUCGUAUCUCUCGCUCUAGGAACUCAGCUGCAGUGCCACCUCCAACAAAGCGUGGCACGGAGCCUGCGACCAGUGCCGCCGCCACUGUCUGUCCCGGAAUGGGUGGGAAGGCAAGGCUGUUUGUCCUCAGGCCACCGCUGCGGCCGCGGCUGUGCUCCCCUCUUCCAACAGAGUCCUCAAGCCUAACCGGGUGGCUUACGGCACAGAAUCAGACAUGCCAACUAUCCACCACAUCCAAUUUGCCUGCUCCUCCAGAUGAAGGAUGAAGGGAAGUGAAUAAGGGAAGGAAAUCCAAGUUGUCUGUGAAGAGGCUCCGGGCCAGGCUCCUCAGGGCAGCCUCAGACCACCCCGAGGUCUUCAUAGAGCUGUCUCCUUUGGAACUCUGGCUCCUAGCUGCCUGGGAGGCUUGAAGCUGAGCACUUCCUUGUAAGUAACACCUGCCGGAAGUGAGGAGAAGCAGACGCUGCCGUUAGUUUGCUUUCACCUAUGGGGAGAGGCCAGCACCCCGUGGGCGGGCCUUUAAUCUAAUCCUAAAUGGGCCAACCCACUUAAAAACACUGUGUGAAAACUGCUUCAAAGCUAGAUCUCCCCCAGGAAAACAAGUGAUGAAAGCUUGUGCUUAAAAAAAAUAAAAUAAAAUAAAUUUUUGAAAAAA